AUGAUGUCAAAAAGAAUAUACAGAAAAAUCAGUAUCAAAAUGAGUCUCAAUUUUAACUGUACCCAUGUCACAAAUUGUACCCCUGGUGCGGGUAAUCCUGUGGAAACGUGGUAUAUCCCUGAACUCCAAACCUUUAUACGAGAUUGGGGGUACCCUUCCUACAGUUUUCACAGCGCGUACCAUAGUUGUGACAAAAUUGUAAAUAAGGCGGGGAAACAUACUAAAUUGGGAGGAUGUGGAAUACUGGUCUCUCAUGAGGAGGAAACCUGCUCCAUGGCAAGGUAUCCACCUCCAUCUGGUACAGCGUGGGGAUGUUCAAAUGGAAAAUUAUAUUCCCAUCUUAAUAUAAAACAGCAUGCUGGGCUGAAGUGCGGAGUUGGAACACCAACCAUGUGUCCUAGGGGGAUUUUUAACUUUACCUCACCGCAUAGGAGAAAGCGAAGGGGAAGUGAUAAACCCCAAGCUCGACCCGAAUGGGCCAUACAUGGAGUUCAAAUACCUGACUAUUAUACUUGGGGAAUGAGAACAUCUUUGACGUUAGAAAACAUAUUUGCCCUGUAUGUAACCCUUAAAAGACACCAAUUUGUCUUAGAAAAUAUUACAUGGCAAAUACAUAUUUCAAGUAAUUGGACUCGGUAUGCCUUUGGGAAGCUGAAUACUCAAUUACGACAAGCAUCUAAAAUGAUACUACAAAAUAGGUUAGCCUUAGAUAUACUGUUAUUAAAAGAACAUGGGGUUUGUGGUAUAUUAAAUCAUACUGGAGAAGAAGGCUGUGUUACAAUUCACAGCGCCGCUACCUCGAUCGAAGAAGCUCGUGCUAAAACGAAGGAAGCUGCUGACCGAACUGGGGAAUUAUUCUACGCCUCGCAGCCGAAGCACUGGUUCGACAGAUGGAGUCCAAGCUCUUGGCUAGGAUCAGGCCUGAGAUCGUUAGGACUCACCAGAUGGGGAAAGCGGCUACUAAACAUUGGACUAAUGCUGUUAUGUGGAUUUUUAUUUUUGUUGAUUGGUUUGGCAGUAGUGCGGUGUAUGAUUAACCGUUUGCUCUCUUCAGUUUCCUCUCCCUUUUCACCCUCCGUUCGCUAUGUACGGAUCACCACCCUAGAAGGACUCUACGGAAACGGGAUUCAACCGAGUGUUUGA
RNAcentral lists this long non-coding RNA (1143 nucleotides) under Apteryx haastii (Great spotted kiwi). RNAcentral describes it as "lncRNA (ENSAHAG00000000410.1)". The record is from RNAcentral. Lineage: Eukaryota; Metazoa; Chordata; Aves; Apterygiformes; Apterygidae.